RNAcentral lists this unclassified non-coding RNA (726 nucleotides) under Hevea brasiliensis (rubber tree). Lineage: Eukaryota; Viridiplantae; Streptophyta; Magnoliopsida; Malpighiales; Euphorbiaceae. The record is from RNAcentral.
GAGAGAGAGAGAGAGAGAGAAGUUCAUGCAUUGAGCAUGUAAGUCUCCUCCAAACUGGAACUGGAAAUUACGCAACAACCAUCAUCUAAAGGCCGAAAAAUUCAAUCAAAGCCAACUAAACCAUCUCUCACUAAAAUUUGACAUUAAUCAGGGGGAAAGAAAUCUUCUAUCCAAUACAUAAGCUGCAAGUAUCCUACCUCAACCACAUUUAGUACAUCGGUAUGGGUAACCAUAAGAGUAAAAGACUAACCAGAAGUAAUUUGUAGCGUCAGUACAGCCACUCAUGCUCCUCUAAUCACCUGCUGAAUAAUUAAACCCACUAAAUAGUUGCAUGCUGCAACAUCUUGAACCCUCAUAAUCUUGAAGUGAACAGAAUGUAUCGACUGAUUACCAGCAGCCAUCUUUAGCGUUUUAAAAAAUUAAAAUUUAACAACCAUUAAUGUUGGCACCAGAGAAAUCCCUUAUGUUCUAUGAAUGCUUUGACACCUUAAAAAAGCAUUCACUCUCAGUCUCAGGUCUCAUCUAAUCAAUGUUGUUACCUAGUAAACAAACAGGUCAGGAAGAAGAAAAAAGGGAAACAAGGUUUCCUGCCGACACGGGACACCAAUUCAGCACCAUCUUCCUGAACUCAUUUUCUUCUAGGCCUGCUAAUCAUGUCUCUUAACAAUUAACAACAUAAAAACACUGGAUUAUGAAGUAUCUCAAAUAUUCUAAUUCAGAUUACCU